Molecule: long non-coding RNA, 1019 nt
Filed under: Bos taurus (domestic cattle)
Lineage: Eukaryota; Metazoa; Chordata; Mammalia; Artiodactyla; Bovidae
Description: long non-coding RNA NONBTAT002651
Source: RNAcentral
GACUUCUGCAGGCUCGGGCCUCACUUUCUCCACCGUGGCCUCAAAAGCUCCUUGCUCGUCCGAAAGGCCAGUAGCUGCAGCCUUGAUGGGAGGUGUGGCACCCUAUGAAAAAAUCCAAGAUAAUCCGGCAGUGAAAAACUAGGAGUCCAAAAUAUUCAGAUUUGGACUUGUAAAGACCUACAAACUUAUAGCAUUUCCCCCAGUUAAAAGAAAAACAAAUAUAUAAGGGCAGAAGAAGUAAAAACAAAAAGAAACGAAGAAGGCACCUCCACAGGCAUAGCAACAAUCACGUGACCUGGCGCCCCAGGUUUCCAAGCAGCCAAUCUGCAUGAACACAGGCACAGAGUUCCUGGACACGGAGGACGCAAACAGGCUGACGGUUCAUUAAACGGUGGGUCCCAGGAGACAGCCAAAGCUUCCUACCAUAUGGGAAUAAAUAAGCAAAUAAAGGUGCUGUGAAGUGUAAUUUGUUACGGGAAUGAUGAAGAAAUAAUUCCAAGCUUUAUAAGGUUAAAAAAUUUGUGUGACUGAUAUGUGGGAAUAAAAUGUCAUACAUGGGCAGUAAAAGUGCAGAUGCCCACUGUCUGUCCAGGAGGAUUACAGAGUCAUAGAAUCCUGGAUUUGGAGGGAACGUCAGGCGUUGUCUUGUUUGACAUCCUCCUCUCCAGUACUCUGAAAGGCAUCAUUCAAAGCCUGAGCUGUAUCAGAAGACAGACCUGCUCCUUUUUAGCAGAACUUCAGAGACAGAGAAACUCCACCUAUGAGUGAAAGUUCUGAAGUCCAGAGAAAGAAGGUGAUCCUUCCAGAGCUGCAGCCAGGACAGAGCGCAGACCUGGACUUCUGACACCCAGCCCCAUGACUCCAGUGCUCCCGCACACAUUCUGACACCAUACCCCUAUUCUGUUUGAAAUGAACCUUCUUGUGAUUGCUUCGGGAAAUAAUUCAAUCUGAGUUAGCUGUGGUGUGCGUCCCUUUUCCAUAAGCACUAAACUUCAGAGCUACAGUGCCCCCCAACAGAC